AACGCUAAUCGGCGCAGGGUUAGCCGGCCCCUAAGGCGAGGCCGAAAGGCGUAGUCGAUGGGAACCACGUUAAUAUUCGUGGGCCUGGUGGUAGUGACGGAUCUCGUGUGUUGUAUCUCCUUACUGGAUUGGAGGUGCAGCGAAGAGGUUCCAGGAAAUAGCUCCACCGUAUAAACCGUACCCGAAACCGACACAGGCGGACUGGUCGAGAAU
Molecule: ribosomal RNA, 213 nt
Filed under: Pseudo-nitzschia fraudulenta
Lineage: Eukaryota; Bacillariophyta; Bacillariophyceae; Bacillariales; Bacillariaceae
Description: partial Bacterial large subunit ribosomal RNA
Rfam family: Bacterial large subunit ribosomal RNA
Source: RNAcentral